UAAAACAGUUAAUUGUUGCUCUUGUUGCC
RNAcentral lists this non-coding RNA (29 nucleotides) under Rattus norvegicus (Norway rat). Lineage: Eukaryota; Metazoa; Chordata; Mammalia; Rodentia; Muridae. The record is from RNAcentral.